AACGAACGCUGGCGGCAUGCCUAACACAUGCAAGUCGAACGAGACCUUCGGGUCUAGUGGCGCACGGGUGCGUAACGCGUGGGAACCUGCCCUUAGGUUCGGAAUAACUCCCCGAAAGGGGUGCUAAUACCGGAUAAUGUCUUCGGACCAAAGAUUUAUCGCCUUUGGAUGGGCCCGCGUUGGAUUAGCUAGUUGGUAGGGUAAAAGCCUACCAAGGCGACGAUCCAUAGCUGGUCUGAGAGGAUGAUCAGCCACACUGGGACUGAGACACGGCCCAGACUCCUACGGGAGGCAGCAGUGGGGAAUAUUGGACAAUGGGCGAAAGCCUGAUCCAGCAAUGCCGGGUGAGUGAUGAAGGCCUUAGGGUUGUAAAGCUCUUUUACCCGGGAUGAUAAUGACAGUACCGGGAGAAUAAGCUCCGGCUAACUCCGUG
Molecule: ribosomal RNA, 433 nt
Filed under: uncultured bacterium
Lineage: Bacteria
Description: partial 16S ribosomal RNA
Rfam family: Bacterial small subunit ribosomal RNA
Source: RNAcentral